UACGGGAGGCAGCAGUGGGGAAUCUUCCGCAAUGGGCGAAAGCCUGACGGAGCAACGCCGCGUGAGUGAAGGAGGGUUUAGGCUCGUAAAGCUCUGUUGCAGGGGACGAAGGCCUUGGAGGUGAAUAAUCUCUGAGGAUGACGGUACCCUGCGAGGAAGCCACGGCUAACUACGUGCCAGCAGCCGCGGUAAU
This 193-nucleotide ribosomal RNA is filed under the name uncultured rumen bacterium. RNAcentral describes it as "partial 16S ribosomal RNA". It matches the Rfam family "Bacterial small subunit ribosomal RNA", at positions 340 to 524 of the family's 1533-position model. The record is from RNAcentral.